AUUUACGUCAGUUCGUCGCUCAUCCUUCUGUUUUCAAUCUAUGCAGAAAAUGGCCAUUCACGUCCUAAAAGCACUUGAAUUUACUUCCAUGGUGCUCAUGCUUAUUCCGGCCUGGAAGAGCAGUUCAUCGAAACAUCAACGCCGGUAAGGAGUUUGCCGGUUCGGUGCGCCCGGAAUAAACAAAAAAAAUGUAAUUGUCAUCAAUCACAUCGAGAAUCAGUUUGUCACUUCCGAUGCGGGCACCAUCAUGAGACAGAUGUCGAACAUCCGGCGGCCAAACUGAUGAUCCAGGUUAGCCAGAUGCAGGAUGCCGAAAUGCGAGAUGUGUUCCACCUUCGUGGAGGUGUUUUGCGGGACGUUAUUGGAAGUCGCUUAAGAGCUGCUUCGAUUGGGAGUGACAACAAGCGAUAUUGCUGAAGGGUAUGAAAAAGCCCUGGAUCUGGCUUUGGAACCUCUGCGAAGUCUGGUUUGCCACAAAGUAAAGGAUUAUCAAAAUCAGGAAUAGGUUAAGAAUUGAUAACAAAGGCAUGUGCUUCGAUUCUGCCGGAAAAGCCCUCCUUCAAUGUGGAAAACAAGAUUUUGGGAAGUGGAUUGCACACGUCCGAGGUGGUUCAUGAAAUGGUGUUCAAGCGGUUCCUGGAAGGCGAGAUCACUUCGGCCAAGAAUGCUAAAAUCCCUAUGUUUUCCUGUCCGGUGGAUAUUAUUCAGACGGAAACCAAGGGAACUGUUCUGAUCAAGAGUGCUGAUGAGCUAAAGAACUUCAGCUAGGGAGAGGAAAAUCUAUUGGAAUCGCAAAUUAAGGCUAUCACUGCCUUGCCGGAGGAAAGUUGGCGGUGCGCUUGAAUUCCAAGUUUGCGUCGAUUUAGCAAGGCCGUUAAUGGAACUGUACUACCUUGUUUGACUCCAACAAGUUCCGAAGAGCUAUUGCGACAAUGUGUUCGUAAAUGAACUUGGAGAUACCUCAGUUUCUAUUUUCCGCUCGGAAGGAUCGGAUAGCAGAAUUGUUACCAUUGUCAUUCGUGGCUCCACAGACAACUACAUGGACGAUAUCGACCGUACCAUUGGCACGAGAGGAGCCGGCCAAGGGCCGAAAAUCUCGUUAAUAAAGAUAAAUAAUAAUAAUAGACCGUACCAUUAACGAUGGAGUCAACACUUUCAAGGGUCUUUUCUGUCAGGAGCUGGAGCUGUAGAAAUCGAACUAGCUCGUUUGUCGCAUGAGUACGCAUAAGAUUCCUGGCUGAAAAUCGAAUACAGUCAAAGCUCCAUGAGCCGAUAUUGAAGGGACCAUCGACUUAUGGAAAUAUCGAGAUGUAGAAGAGAAAAUCCUUGGAAAGCUCUCUUGAGGGACCAGCACAGAAACGAAUCCAUCAUGUAGAAGUUUGAAAACCAAGUGCAGCCGGAAGGGCCAAAUUUCGUCGCCGGCACCGUUUCAGAAUUCGGAACGGUGGCUCUGCAGGACAAGGACGUUUUCGACCGCAACCAGGCAUGAACCUCGAUAUGAGCUCCCGUCCAGUAUCUUCUUGGAAAAUUUACAACAAAUAGCGUAGCACUCGAAGAACCCGCUCAUAUGGUUCGCCAACUCAUGGUUAAUUUUGCAAAGCUCACUGAAGAACUUCCAGGAGCAGCGGGAUGAGGCUAUCAAGGGCCCUGCCUGACACGGUCAUUAUAAAGCCAACAAAUCUGCCAUGAUCACGUUACUGCUCGAGGUUACUCGUUAUCAGCAGGAGAAUUUAUUCGACAUGGAAUUUUUCAUUAGACGCAGAGGUAGAGGCCAUCACUGAAUAUGUGUGACUUGCAAGAUUUAUCUCGGAAUGCGAAGGAGCUGGCGAAAGUUAUUAGUUUGGCAGAAGUGUUACUUCAGGCGAUGGAUACCCGCGAUCCGAUUGGAACAUAGACUGAAUCCGAGUAUCUUACAAAACAACUCUCCGAAUAGGGUUUGAAAAUGAUUUCCUUGAACAGAUAGUCAAAAAAUCUGAAAAUUGGUUGUAGGGAGACCUGAUGAGGGUUUCCAAAGAAAAGUCGAGCGGGAAUGUCUACGUGACUGACGAAAUCGAAUUGAAGAAGGAUGGAAAACAGCAUGGAGAUUAAUCUGAAACGACGGCCAAACAUCGAAGCGCAUCGGAAGCAACUUCUACAAGACCCAUAACGUUAUGAAUUGAAAAAGGAACAAGAAUAUUGUAUUUCACAUAUAAGAGUUAAAUAAAAUAUAGCACAAUAAUAGCACGUGCCACUGGCGCUCUCUGAUUGUCCCACACUUUUUAACGGUCAUUCGCUUUUGGGGGCGAUCGCUUCUGUCAAAUGAGCUAAGACACAACUCCGCUGCAAUGUUAAUACACGUAGGUUGG
Molecule: long non-coding RNA, 2345 nt
Organism: Armigeres subalbatus
Lineage: Eukaryota; Metazoa; Arthropoda; Insecta; Diptera; Culicidae
Exons: 4
Source: RefSeq, a predicted model, not a curated record